This 475-nucleotide ribosomal RNA is filed under the name uncultured organism. RNAcentral describes it as "partial 16S ribosomal RNA". It matches the Rfam family "Bacterial small subunit ribosomal RNA", at positions 333 to 800 of the family's 1533-position model. The record is from RNAcentral.
ACACUCCUACGGGAGGCAGCAGUGGGGAAUUUUGGACAAUGGGCGAAAGCCUGAUCCAGCAAUGCCGCGUGAGUGAAGAAGGCCUUCGGGUUGUAAAGCUCUUUUGUCAGGGAAGAAACGGUGAAAGCUAAUAUCUUUUGCUAAUGACGGUACCUGAAGAAUAAGCACCGGCUAACUACGUGCCAGCAGCCGCGGUAAUACGUAGGGUGCAAGCGUUAAUCGGAAUUACUGGGCGUAAGCGUGCGCAGGCGGUUUUGUAAGUCUGAUGUGAAAUCCCCGGGCUCAACCUGGGAAUUGCAUUGGAGACUGCAAGGCUAGAAUCUGGCAGAGGGGGGUAGAAUUCCACGUGUAGCAGUGAAAUGCGUAGAUAUGUGGAGGAACACCGAUGGCGAAGGCAGCCCCCUGGGUCAAGAUUGACGCUCAUGCACGAAAGCGUGGGGAGCAAACAGGAUUAGAUACCCGUGUAGUCCCAUGA